This 71-nucleotide transfer RNA is filed under the name Loxodonta africana (African savanna elephant). It matches the Rfam family "tRNA". Rfam says of the family: Transfer RNA (tRNA) molecules are approximately 80 nucleotides in length. Their secondary structure includes four short double-helical elements and three loops (D, anti-codon, and T loops). Lineage: Eukaryota; Metazoa; Chordata; Mammalia; Proboscidea; Elephantidae. The record is from Rfam by way of RNAcentral.
GCAGAGGUGGCUCAAUGGUAGAAUUCUCACCUUCCAUGAGGGUGACCUGGGUUCAAUUCCCAAUCAAUGCA